ACAGUGCCCCCACGGAGGAUGAUGGUACACGUCUUGGCCUUAGGGCAGCCAGUGAAGAAAUUGUACCUCUCGCUUCCAAUUUGGGUCUCUUCAAACAAUUGGCAGUGGCCCAGCACAUCUGGAAUCAGAGCAUUCACACUGGUCUGGAUUGAGCCUCCACAGGCCAUCAUUGUCCUCUUCAGAUCCUCCUCAGGUACUCGGCCAGCACAGAACAUGUCCCUAUCAGCAAACUACUGGGUAGCCACAUCCCCAAUGGGAGGUUUGUACAAGAUGACUUUGGCUCCAGACUGAUGGAUCUUCUCUAACUUGUCAUAAAGAAUGUUCCACUCAGCAUCAACAAUUGCAUGGUAAUCCUCCACCGUGUGGACUCUGAUUUCAGCAUUAUCUUUCUCCACUUUCAGCUCAAGCUCAACCUUUAAGAGGGCAAUCUUGGGGUUCUUAUAAUUCUUGGGCUGCAUUUCAAACCCGGCAUAAGGGAAAGUCUUCUUGAAUGCGACACCGGCCACCAACUGAAACUCCUCUAAAGCUCCACCAUGAACUUUCUUGAUACCAAUCAUUUUAAGCUGUAGCAACUCAUCAAGCAUCAUCACAGCAUCAACCACUAUCUUGGUGAAGAAGGUCUUCUGCUGAGAGAUCAACUUAGAGCUCAGGGCUGUCAUAGCACACUUUUCCAGCAUCUUCCUCUGUUCUACUUUAUCUUGUUUCUUCACAGUCACAGCAAUCUCUUUGAUUUUGUCAACAGCCAAAUGGGUGGUGGCUGUGCGGAAAGCUCGGAUGAUGAUCUGAGGGUGCAAACCUUCCUCCACGUAGGGCUUCACCUGCUUCAGAAACUCAGCAGUCAGCAGGGUCUCUGAGGUGGUGCCGUCACCAACCUCAGCAUGUUGGGAUUUGGCAAUGUGUGCUAAAGUCUUGGCUGCAGGAUGGACAACAUCAAGGAGUUCCAGAAUUAUGGCCCUAUCAUUAGAAAUUGUUGCUUUGCCUCGACCAUCCACAAUAAGCUUGUCCAUGCCACAGGGACCCAGUGUGAUUCUUACAGCCUCAGGAAUCACCUGGCAGGCACUGAUGUUACUCACAAGCUGAGAGAUGCCUUGGGAGCUAUCAGUCCCCUCUUUCAACAGGAUAACUGGUGUGGGCAUCAUCUUGGAAGCAGCUUCAGGCUG
Molecule: long non-coding RNA, 1160 nt
Filed under: Cricetulus griseus (Chinese hamster)
Lineage: Eukaryota; Metazoa; Chordata; Mammalia; Rodentia; Cricetidae
Description: lncRNA (ENSCGRG00015030705.1)
Source: RNAcentral